UUACGAAAUUCAGUUAAAAUU
RNAcentral lists this non-coding RNA (21 nucleotides) under Caenorhabditis elegans. Lineage: Eukaryota; Metazoa; Nematoda; Chromadorea; Rhabditida; Rhabditidae. The record is from RNAcentral.